UGAGAUGAGUUGUAUGGUUUGUUUGACAU
This 29-nucleotide non-coding RNA is filed under the name Rattus norvegicus (Norway rat). The record is from RNAcentral. Lineage: Eukaryota; Metazoa; Chordata; Mammalia; Rodentia; Muridae.